GAUAUAUGGCUCACUGGUAGAGUACUUGCCUAACAAGUAUAAAGGCCCUGAGUUCAAGCCCCAGUACUAUCA
Molecule: transfer RNA, 72 nt
Filed under: Dipodomys ordii (Ord's kangaroo rat)
Lineage: Eukaryota; Metazoa; Chordata; Mammalia; Rodentia; Heteromyidae
Rfam family: tRNA
About the family: Transfer RNA (tRNA) molecules are approximately 80 nucleotides in length. Their secondary structure includes four short double-helical elements and three loops (D, anti-codon, and T loops). Further hydrogen bonds mediate the characteristic L-shaped molecular structure. tRNAs have two regions of fundamental functional importance: the anti-codon, which is responsible for specific mRNA codon recognition, and the 3' end, to which the tRNAs corresponding amino acid is attached (by aminoacyl-tRNA synthetases). tRNAs cope with the degeneracy of the genetic code in two manners: having more than one tRNA (with a specific anti-codon) for a particular amino acid; and 'wobble' base-pairing, i.e. permitting non-standard base-pairing at the 3rd anti-codon position.
Source: Rfam by way of RNAcentral